CAUGAACGAAAAUAUACUGGAAAAAUUGCAUAUAAAUGUGUGUUCAACGGUAUCUAAAAAACAUAGAUGUUCAUCAUAAGAUCUAAAUAACAUAGAUGUUCGACAUAAGUUUAUAAAACAUACAUGUUCGACAUCUAUCGAAUCCUAAAAAUUGAGAAAAUGAAAUAGCUGCACAGGUUAAAAUGUCUCUAGAUCUGCACCAACAAUAAAAAUAUAAUCUUUCUUUUCAGCUGGCACCACAAUUCUUCAAGAACACGCUCUUUAAUCUUUAUCACAUUCUUCAUCUGUUAAAAAAAAAAAAUUGAGGUCAAUUCGUAACAGAAUGCCGGAUAGCUAUAACUUAUAACUUUUAAAGUAUAAAUCAAUCAUUUAAUCACCAAAGAGCCCAAAAGUUGGCACUGCAUAAUUCUCAUCAGCAUCAGAACUAGUAAAGUCAAAGUGUGGAGCCAAUUUUGGAACAAUAUAGGCCUGUGAUUUUUUUCAAAGUUCAUUCUUGGUACAGUUGCUCCACAAUUCACAGGGAUUUCUAUUAUUGAAGAUGGAAGUGAGGGUAUAACUAUGGAAUUAGAGAUGCAAUGGGAUGGGAAUCCAAGCAUAAUACUCGAUAUCAAGACUUAUGUAGGUGUAGCAUUACCAGUGCAGGUGAAAAACAUUGGGUUUACUGGUAUUUUCAGGCUCAUCUUCAGGCCACUUGUUGAUGAGUUUCCUUGCUUCGGAGUUGUAUGCUAUUCUCCAAGGCAGAAGAAAAAGCUGGAUUUUACGCUUAAGUAAUUGGUG
Molecule: long non-coding RNA, 777 nt
Filed under: Solanum tuberosum (potato)
Lineage: Eukaryota; Viridiplantae; Streptophyta; Magnoliopsida; Solanales; Solanaceae
Description: long non-coding RNA (STUB_LNC001880)
Source: RNAcentral